Molecule: ribosomal RNA, 548 nt
Filed under: uncultured bacterium
Lineage: Bacteria
Description: bacterial SSU rRNA
Rfam family: Bacterial small subunit ribosomal RNA
Source: RNAcentral
UAGGGAAUCUUCGGCAAUGGGGGCAACCCUGACCGAGCAACGCCGCGUGAGUGAAGAAGGUUUUCGGAUCGUAAAGCUCCGUUGUAAGUCAAGAACGAGUGUGAGAGUGGAAAGUUCACACUGUGACGGUAGCUUACCAGAAAGGGACGGCUAACUACGUGCCAGCAGCCGCGGUAAUACGUAGGUCCCGAGCGUUGUCCGGAUUUAUUGGGCGUAAAGCGAGCGCAGGCGGUUUGAUAAGUCUGAAGUUAAAGGCUGUGGCUCAACCAUAGUUCGCUUUGGAAACUGUCAAACUUGAGUGCAGAAGGGGAGAGUGGAAUUCCAUGUGUAGCGGUGAAAUGCGUAGAUAUAUGGAGGAACACCGGUGGCGAAAGCGGCUCUCUGGUCUGUAACUGACGCUGAGGCUCGAAAGCGUGGGGAGCGAACAGGAUUAGAUACCCUGGUAGUCCACGCCGUAACGAUGAGUGCUAGGUGUUGGAUCCUUUCCGGGAUUCAGUGCCGCAGCUAACGCAUUAAGCACUCCGCCUGGGGAGUACGACCGCAAGGUU